RNAcentral lists this ribosomal RNA (447 nucleotides) under uncultured bacterium. RNAcentral describes it as "bacterial SSU rRNA". It matches the Rfam family "Bacterial small subunit ribosomal RNA", at positions 355 to 825 of the family's 1533-position model. The record is from RNAcentral.
UCGGGAAUUUUGGGCAAUGGGCGAAAGCCUGACCCAGCAACGCCGCGUGAAGGAUGAAGUCUCUCGGGAUGUAAACUUCGUAAGAAUAGGAAGAAUAAAUGACGGUACUAUUUGUAAGGUCCGGCUAACUACGUGCCAGCAGCCGCGGUAAUACGUAGGGACCAAGCGUUGUUCGGAUUUACUGGGCGUAAAGGGCGCGUAGGCGGCAAUUCAAGUCAUCUGUGAAAUCUCCGGGCUUAACUCGGAACGGUCAGAUGAUACUGCUUUGCUAGAGUGCAGAAGGGGCAAUCGGAAUUCUUGGUGUAGCGGUGAAAUGCGUAGAUAUCAAGAGGAACACCUGAGGUGAAGACGGGUUGCUGGGCUGACACUGACGCUGAGGCGCGAAAGCCAGGGGAGCAAACGGGAUUAGAUACCCUUGUAGUCCCUGAGCGGGCUGGCAAGGCGCAU